GGCUGGUUAGCUCAGUGGUUUGAGCGCGGUGCUGAUAAUGAACCAACACUGAGGUCGCGGGUUCGAUUCCCGCUCGGUCC
RNAcentral lists this transfer RNA (80 nucleotides) under Apaloderma vittatum (bar-tailed trogon). It matches the Rfam family "tRNA". Rfam says of the family: Transfer RNA (tRNA) molecules are approximately 80 nucleotides in length. Their secondary structure includes four short double-helical elements and three loops (D, anti-codon, and T loops). Further hydrogen bonds mediate the characteristic L-shaped molecular structure. tRNAs have two regions of fundamental functional importance: the anti-codon, which is responsible for specific mRNA codon recognition, and the 3' end, to which the tRNAs corresponding amino acid is attached (by aminoacyl-tRNA synthetases). tRNAs cope with the degeneracy of the genetic code in two manners: having more than one tRNA (with a specific anti-codon) for a particular amino acid; and 'wobble' base-pairing, i.e. permitting non-standard base-pairing at the 3rd anti-codon position. Lineage: Eukaryota; Metazoa; Chordata; Aves; Trogoniformes; Trogonidae. The record is from Rfam by way of RNAcentral.